RNAcentral lists this ribosomal RNA (2616 nucleotides) under Escherichia coli 6-537-08_S4_C2. RNAcentral describes it as "bacterial LSU rRNA". It matches the Rfam family "Bacterial large subunit ribosomal RNA", at positions 326 to 2925 of the family's 2925-position model. The record is from RNAcentral. Lineage: Bacteria; Pseudomonadati; Pseudomonadota; Gammaproteobacteria; Enterobacterales; Enterobacteriaceae.
GUGUUAGUGGAAGCGUCUGGAAAGGCGCGCGAUACAGGGUGACAGCCCCGUACACAAAAAUGCACAUGCUGUGAGCUCGAUGAGUAGGGCGGGACACGUGGUAUCCUGUCUGAAUAUGGGGGGACCAUCCUCCAAGGCUAAAUACUCCUGACUGACCGAUAGUGAACCAGUACCGUGAGGGAAAGGCGAAAAGAACCCCGGCGAGGGGAGUGAAAAAGAACCUGAAACCGUGUACGUACAAGCAGUGGGAGCACGCUUAGGCGUGUGACUGCGUACCUUUUGUAUAAUGGGUCAGCGACUUAUAUUCUGUAGCAAGGUUAACCGAAUAGGGGAGCCGAAGGGAAACCGAGUCUUAACUGGGCGUUAAGUUGCAGGGUAUAGACCCGAAACCCGGUGAUCUAGCCAUGGGCAGGUUGAAGGUUGGGUAACACUAACUGGAGGACCGAACCGACUAAUGUUGAAAAAUUAGCGGAUGACUUGUGGCUGGGGGUGAAAGGCCAAUCAAACCGGGAGAUAGCUGGUUCUCCCCGAAAGCUAUUUAGGUAGCGCCUCGUGAACUCAUCUCCGGGGGUAGAGCACUGUUUCGGCAAGGGGGUCAUCCCGACUUACCAACCCGAUGCAAACUGCGAAUACCGGAGAAUGUUAUCACGGGAGACACACGGCGGGUGCUAACGUCCGUCGUGAAGAGGGAAACAACCCAGACCGCCAGCUAAGGUCCCAAAGUCAUGGUUAAGUGGGAAACGAUGUGGGAAGGCCCAGACAGCCAGGAUGUUGGCUUAGAAGCAGCCAUCAUUUAAAGAAAGCGUAAUAGCUCACUGGUCGAGUCGGCCUGCGCGGAAGAUGUAACGGGGCUAAACCAUGCACCGAAGCUGCGGCAGCGACGCUUAUGCGUUGUUGGGUAGGGGAGCGUUCUGUAAGCCUGUGAAGGUGUACUGUGAGGUAUGCUGGAGGUAUCAGAAGUGCGAAUGCUGACAUAAGUAACGAUAAAGCGGGUGAAAAGCCCGCUCGCCGGAAGACCAAGGGUUCCUGUCCAACGUUAAUCGGGGCAGGGUGAGUCGACCCCUAAGGCGAGGCCGAAAGGCGUAGUCGAUGGGAAACAGGUUAAUAUUCCUGUACUUGGUGUUACUGCGAAGGGGGGACGGAGAAGGCUAUGUUGGCCGGGCGACGGUUGUCCCGGUUUAAGCGUGUAGGCUGGUUUUCCAGGCAAAUCCGGAAAAUCAAGGCUGAGGCGUGAUGACGAGGCACUACGGUGCUGAAGCAACAAAUGCCCUGCUUCCAGGAAAAGCCUCUAAGCAUCAGGUAACAUCAAAUCGUACCCCAAACCGACACAGGUGGUCAGGUAGAGAAUACCAAGGCGCUUGAGAGAACUCGGGUGAAGGAACUAGGCAAAAUGGUGCCGUAACUUCGGGAGAAGGCACGCUGAUAUGUAGGUGAAGCGACUUGCUCGUGGAGCUGAAAUCAGUCGAAGAUACCAGCUGGCUGCAACUGUUUAUUAAAAACACAGCACUGUGCAAACACGAAAGUGGACGUAUACGGUGUGACGCCUGCCCGGUGCCGGAAGGUUAAUUGAUGGGGUCAGCGCAAGCGAAGCUCUUGAUCGAAGCCCCGGUAAACGGCGGCCGUAACUAUAACGGUCCUAAGGUAGCGAAAUUCCUUGUCGGGUAAGUUCCGACCUGCACGAAUGGCGUAAUGAUGGCCAGGCUGUCUCCACCCGAGACUCAGUGAAAUUGAACUCGCUGUGAAGAUGCAGUGUACCCGCGGCAAGACGGAAAGACCCCGUGAACCUUUACUAUAGCUUGACACUGAACAUUGAGCCUUGAUGUGUAGGAUAGGUGGGAGGCUUUGAAGUGUGGACGCCAGUCUGCAUGGAGCCGACCUUGAAAUACCACCCUUUAAUGUUUGAUGUUCUAACGUUGACCCGUAAUCCGGGUUGCGGACAGUGUCUGGUGGGUAGUUUGACUGGGGCGGUCUCCUCCUAAAGAGUAACGGAGGAGCACGAAGGUUGGCUAAUCCUGGUCGGACAUCAGGAGGUUAGUGCAAUGGCAUAAGCCAGCUUGACUGCGAGCGUGACGGCGCGAGCAGGUGCGAAAGCAGGUCAUAGUGAUCCGGUGGUUCUGAAUGGAAGGGCCAUCGCUCAACGGAUAAAAGGUACUCCGGGGAUAACAGGCUGAUACCGCCCAAGAGUUCAUAUCGACGGCGGUGUUUGGCACCUCGAUGUCGGCUCAUCACAUCCUGGGGCUGAAGUAGGUCCCAAGGGUAUGGCUGUUCGCCAUUUAAAGUGGUACGCGAGCUGGGUUUAGAACGUCGUGAGACAGUUCGGUCCCUAUCUGCCGUGGGCGCUGGAGAACUGAGGGGGGCUGCUCCUAGUACGAGAGGACCGGAGUGGACGCAUCACUGGUGUUCGGGUUGUCAUGCCAAUGGCACUGCCCGGUAGCUAAAUGCGGAAGAGAUAAGUGCUGAAAGCAUCUAAGCACGAAACUUGCCCCGAGAUGAGUUCUCCCUGACUCCUUGAGAGUCCUGAAGGAACGUUGAAGACGACGACGUUGAUAGGCCGGGUGUGUAAGCGCAGCGAUGCGUUGAGCUAACCGGUACUAAUGAACCGUGAGGCUUAACCUU